This 286-nucleotide ribosomal RNA is filed under the name uncultured bacterium. RNAcentral describes it as "partial 16S ribosomal RNA". It matches the Rfam family "Bacterial small subunit ribosomal RNA", at positions 205 to 507 of the family's 1533-position model. The record is from RNAcentral.
AGGAUUCUGGUCUGGGAUGGGCCCGCGGCCUAUCAGCUAGUUGGUGGGGUAAUGGCCUACCAAGGCGACGACGGGUAGCCGGCCUGAGAGGGCGACCGGCCACACUGGAACUGAGACACGGUCCAGACUCCUACGGGAGGCAGCAGUGGGGAAUAUUGCACAAUGGGCGAAAGCCUGAUGCAGCGACGCCGCGUGAGGGACGACGGCCUUCGGGUUGUAAACCUCUUUCAGCAGGGACGAAGCGAAAGUGACUGUACCUGCAAAAGAAGCACCGGCUAACUACGUG